This 393-nucleotide ribosomal RNA is filed under the name uncultured bacterium. RNAcentral describes it as "partial 16S ribosomal RNA". It matches the Rfam family "Bacterial small subunit ribosomal RNA", at positions 523 to 918 of the family's 1533-position model. The record is from RNAcentral.
AUACGGAGGAUGCGAGCGUUAUCCGGAUUUAUUGGGUUUAAAGGGUGCGUAGGCGGGAUUUUAAGCGUGAGGUGAAAUGCCACGGCUCAACCGUGGAACUGCCUCGCGAACUGGGAUUCUUGAAUGCCCCUGCCGUGGGAGGAAUGUGUGGUGUAGCGGUGAAAUGCAUAGAGAUCACACAGAACACCGAUUGCGAAGGCAUCUCACGAAGGGGUGAUUGACGCUGAGGCACGAAAGCGUGGGGAUCAAACAGGAUUAGAUACCCUGGUAGUCCACGCAGUAAACGAUGAUAACUAACCGCUGGGGAGCGAUUUUCAGUGGCCAAGCGAAAGCGAUAAGUUAUCCACCUGGGGAGUACGACCGCAAGGUUGAAACUCAAAUGAAUUGACGGGG